AUUGAACGCUGGCGGCAGGCCUAACACAUGCAAGUCGAGCGGAUGAAGGGAGCUAGCUCCUGGAUUCAGCGGCGGACGGGUGAGUAAUGCCUAGGAAUCUGCCUGGUAGUGGGGGAUAACGUCCGGAAACGGGCGCUAAUACCGCAUACGUCCUGAGGGAGAAAGUGGGGGAUCUUCGGACCUCACGCUAUCAGAUGAGCCUAGGUCGGAUUAGCUAGUUGGUGGGGUAAAGGCCUACCAAGGCGACGAUCCGUAACUGGUCUGAGAGGAUGAUCAGUCACACUGGAACUGAGACACGGUCCAGACUCCUACGGGAGGCAGCAGUGGGGAAUAUUGGACAAUGGGCGAAAGCCUGAUCCAGCCAUGCCGCGUGUGUGAAGAAGGUCUUCGGAUUGUAAAGCACUUUAAGUUGGGGGGAAGGGCAGUAAGUUAAUACCUUGCUGUUUUGACGUUACCAACAGAAUAAGCACCGGCUAACUUCGUG
This 484-nucleotide ribosomal RNA is filed under the name uncultured bacterium. Its description in RNAcentral is "partial 16S ribosomal RNA". It matches the Rfam family "Bacterial small subunit ribosomal RNA", at positions 30 to 507 of the family's 1533-position model. The record is from RNAcentral.